GAUGAACGCUGACAGAAUGCUUAACACAUGCAAGUCUACUUGAACUUCGGUUUGGGUGGCGGACGGGUGAGUAACGCGUAAAGAACUUGCCUCACAGUUAGGGACAACAUUUGGAAACGAAUGCUAAUACCUGAUAUUAUGAUUUUAGGGCAUCCUAGGAUUAUGAAAGCUAUAUGUGCUGUGAGAGAGCUUUGCGUCCCAUUAGCUAGUUGGAGAGGUAACGGCUCACCAAGGCGAUGAUGGGUAGCCGGCCUGAGAGGGUGAACGGCCACAAGGGGACUGAGACACGGCCCUUACUCCUACGGGAGGCAGCAGUGGGGAAUAUUGGACAAUGGACCAAAAGUCUGAUCCAGCAAUUCUGUGUGCACGAUGACGUUUUUCGGAAUGUAAAGUGCUUUCAGUUGGGAAGAAAAAAAUGACGGUACCAACAGAAGAAGUGACGGCUAAAUACGU
This 453-nucleotide ribosomal RNA is filed under the name uncultured bacterium. RNAcentral's name for it is "partial 16S ribosomal RNA". It matches the Rfam family "Bacterial small subunit ribosomal RNA", at positions 28 to 506 of the family's 1533-position model. The record is from RNAcentral.